GCGUCGGUCAGCCUACUAACGAAUAGCGCAAAGGAAUACCAUCGCUACAAAAUCGCGGUCUUUAAAUUAUUACGCAAAUUUUGUGCACAAUGAGAUGUUAUAAACACACCUUGCAUGUACAUGAAAAAAAGGUUUACAACAGAGAUGACAUAUAUGCAUGGGCACAUAUAUGUGUCAAUAAAAUACUCGAGCCUCUUUCUGCCUACAGAAAAAGAAGUUAUGUCUUCUCGAGGGCAUGGCUGCUUGUAAUAAUGAACCUCUAAGGGAAGGUUUUCUCUAAUCCCUAUUUUUGAUAUCUAAAUGCUUAUGUGGCAUGUACAAACUGCUUGCAUCCAUUUCUCAUUGGGAUGAGCUGUCUGAAAUUUAUUUUCAGUAAUAAUUGCAAUAAUUAACUACUUUCACCUGUCUUCUAAUGACUAAAGUUCUAUGCUUCUACCUUGACAAACCUUUUGUGAAAUUAGUUUGAUGAGGCCCAAUAUACAGCGCUUUCUAAAUUGAAGGUAUCAGUACCUAUUAAAGACUACGCUAACUAUGAAAAUGCUGCUUGCGUAUAUUGUUUAUUCACUCUGUCAGACAAAAUCUUUACACCCAAGUGCAGUCAGUAAAUUUAAAAGUGCAUGCCUGCAAGGGGAAGUCAGAAUUGUAUUUGAAGACAAUUGCAUCUUGUUUGAUAGUUCUCGAGCACUUGUGCGCCACUAAUCGAGCACAGCUUGGCCCUAUACUCGAUGAGGCUUGAAGCUUUCAAUGUCUGCUAAUCACUAAAACAGCACCAGAUCUCACUCUGUGUCAAGGGGUGGCACACAUUUGCUUAGUUCUAGGCAGAUGCAUGUCUUUCUUUCGCAUUGAAGUUCCCAAUACUUUCUAGUCUUACGUAAAAGUACACAGCUCAGUACAAUGCAUGUAUGGUAUACGUAAGGCUGCUUUGUUCUUUAAACCGAAUCAACAAGAAGCAGCGACUUCCGUUUUUGCAAACCUUACCCUACUUCCUAACCAUUCCUUGAUCAAAUGCGUAUAAAAUGAAUCUUUGGUUGUUGUAUUCUUUCACAGGUAGACAUCGGUGACGGUGUAUACGUUGAAAAGGGCCUGCUGAAGAGGCUGUGCCUGGAUGCUAACAACUCAGGCUUUCACUUCGCGGAGGGCCUCCUUAAAGCUCCUUUUUCAAUAGAAGACGUUGAAGGGAGGUCCUUCUUUGGGCGGCUGUCAAAUGCCUUCCACAGAAGGAUCCGUUGGAUUCCAAGAAGGUCAACACCAUAGUAGACUACACAACGCAACAUUUCAGCCUACUUCCAGGGCAGCUGGAGAACUCGUCCUCCUUACUAGCCCGGGGAUAUUAAAUGGAUGUGUUCAAGCACAAA
Dermacentor albipictus is the source of this 1355-nucleotide non-coding RNA. NCBI's taxonomy places the organism in Eukaryota, Metazoa, Arthropoda, Arachnida, Ixodida, Ixodidae. The record is from RefSeq and is a predicted model, not a curated record.